RNAcentral lists this ribosomal RNA (510 nucleotides) under uncultured bacterium. RNAcentral's name for it is "partial 16S ribosomal RNA". It matches the Rfam family "Bacterial small subunit ribosomal RNA", at positions 28 to 507 of the family's 1533-position model. The record is from RNAcentral.
GACGAACGCUGGCGGCGUGCUUAACACAUGCAAGUCGAACGAAGAGCGAUGGAAGCUUGCUUCUAUCAAUCUUAGUGGCGAACGGGUGAGUAACGCGUAAUCAACCUGCCCUUCAGAGGGGGACAACAGUUGGAAACGACUGCUAAUACCGCAUACGAUCCAAUCUCGGCAUCGGGACUGGAUGAAAGGUGGCCUCUAUUUAUAAGCUAUCACUGAAGGAGGGGAUUGCGUCUGAUUAGCUAGUUGGAGGGGUAACGGCCCACCAAGGCGAUGAUCAGUAGCCGGUCUGAGAGGAUGAACGGCCACAUUGGGACUGAGACACGGCCCAGACUCCUACGGGAGGCAGCAGUGGGGAAUCUUCCGCAAUGGACGAAAGGCUGACGGAGCAACGCCGCGUGAGUGAUGACGGCCUUCGGGUUGUAAAGCUCUGUUAAUCGGGACGAAUGGUUCUUGUGCGAAUAGUGCGAGGAUUUGACGGUACCGGAAUAGAAAGCCACGGCUAACUACGUG